RNAcentral lists this small RNA (514 nucleotides) under Arabidopsis thaliana (thale cress). RNAcentral describes it as "ATSL160320". Lineage: Eukaryota; Viridiplantae; Streptophyta; Magnoliopsida; Brassicales; Brassicaceae. The record is from RNAcentral.
GAAUGCAUACUCGAUGACAAGCUUCAGAGCCUUCUUCAUUCCGCACUGAACCAGACACUCGAGCACAAGGAAGAAAAGAAGACUCCAGCUAUUCACUCGACCUCCCACUCCACCACAUGGGUCGAGUACAGUUCUUAAUCCGUCCCAAUACUGCGUCGUUUUGAGUAUUAGGGUUUCGGGAUAUUUGGCUAUAAGUAGUAUGUACUUCACAUUUUCGCAGACAAGUUUUUAUCUAGUUUUAUUUCCGCAGACCUUGUGUUCUAGACCUUUUGUAAUCUGGAUUUCUCUUUAUCUAUUCAGUAUUCAGUAUUCAGCUUUUGUUCUUGAUUUCGUUUACUGUUGUUCAUUCUGUCAUCAUCCUGCUGUUACACUGUUGUUAUCAUGUUUUCAACUUGUUCAACGUUUAUGCUUUCUGUUAUGAUGUCUAAGUAGUGAAUAGGUUUCUGAGGAUGGGUUAGAGUAGUGUAGAAUUCUCAGUAUGCUAGGUGAUUGAGUAUUGAUUGAUAAAUCCCUU